UACGGAGGAUCCAAGCGUUAUCCGGAUUUAUUGGGUUUAAAGGGUGCGUAGGCGGAAUGAUAAGUCAGUGGUGAAAGCCCUUCGCUUAACGAAGGAACUGCCAUUGAUACUGUCAAUCUUGAGUACAUUUGAUGUGGGCGGAAUGUGUCAUGUAGCGGUGAAAUGCUUAGAUAUGACACAGAACACCGAUUGCGAAGGCAGCUCACAAAACUGUAAACUGACGCUGGAGGCACGAAAAGCGUUGGGUAUCAAACAGG
Molecule: ribosomal RNA, 257 nt
Filed under: uncultured bacterium
Lineage: Bacteria
Description: partial 16S ribosomal RNA
Rfam family: Bacterial small subunit ribosomal RNA
Source: RNAcentral